This 467-nucleotide ribosomal RNA is filed under the name uncultured bacterium. RNAcentral's name for it is "bacterial SSU rRNA". It matches the Rfam family "Bacterial small subunit ribosomal RNA", at positions 33 to 507 of the family's 1533-position model. The record is from RNAcentral.
GGACGACGCUGGCGGCGUGCCUAACACAUGCAAGUCGAACGGGGUCCAAGGAAGCUUGCUUCCUGACGACCUAGUGGCGAACGGGUGAGUAACACGUGAGAAACCUGCCUCGGAGUGGGGAAUAACUCGGGGAAACUCGAGCUAAUACCGCAUACCUUCAGAUGAUCGCAUGGUCGACUGAAGAAAGAAUUUCGCUCUGAGAGGGUCUCGCGGCCUAUCAGCUUGUUGAUGGGGUAACGGCCUACCAAGGCAACGACGGGUAGCUGGUUUGAGAGAACGAUCAGCCACACUGGGACUGAGACACGGCCCAGACUCCUACGGGAGGCAGCAGUGGGGAAUCUUGCGCAAUGGGCGAAAGCCUGACGCAGCAACGCCGCGUGCGGGAUGACGGCCUUCGUGGUUGUAAACCGCUUUCAGCAGGGACGAAAUUGACGGUACCUGCAGAAGAAGCCCCGGCUAACUACGUG